Molecule: ribosomal RNA, 1985 nt
Filed under: Escherichia coli
Lineage: Bacteria; Pseudomonadati; Pseudomonadota; Gammaproteobacteria; Enterobacterales; Enterobacteriaceae
Description: partial 23S ribosomal RNA
Rfam family: Bacterial large subunit ribosomal RNA
Source: RNAcentral
UGUGAGCUCGAUGAGUAGGGCGGGACACGUGGUAUCCUGUCUGAAUAUGGGGGGACCAUCCUCCAAGGCUAAAUACUCCUGACUGACCGAUAGUGAACCAGUACCGUGAGGGAAAGGCGAAAAGAACCCCGGCGAGGGGAGUGAAAAAGAACCUGAAACCGUGUACGUACAAGCAGUGGGAGCCUCUUUUAUGGGGUGACUGCGUACCUUUUGUAUAAUGGGUCAGCGACUUAUAUUCUGUAGCAAGGUUAACCGAAUAGGGGAGCCGAAGGGAAACCGAGUCUUAACUGGGCGUUAAGUUGCAGGGUAUAGACCCGAAACCCGGUGAUCUAGCCAUGGGCAGGUUGAAGGUUGGGUAACACUAACUGGAGGACCGAACCGACUAAUGUUGAAAAAUUAGCGGAUGACUUGUGGCUGGGGGUGAAAGGCCAAUCAAACCGGGAGAUAGCUGGUUCUCCCCGAAAGCUAUUUAGGUAGCGCCUCGUGAAUUCAUCUCCGGGGGUAGAGCACUGUUUCGGCAAGGGGGUCAUCCCGACUUACCAACCCGAUGCAAACUGCGAAUACCGGAGAAUGUUAUCACGGGAGACACACGGCGGGUGCUAACGUCCGUCGUGAAGAGGGAAACAACCCAGACCGCCAGCUAAGGUCCCAAAGUCAUGGUUAAGUGGGAAACGAUGUGGGAAGGCCCAGACAGCCAGGAUGUUGGCUUAGAAGCAGCCAUCAUUUAAAGAAAGCGUAAUAGCUCACUGGUCGAGUCGGCCUGCGCGGAAGAUGUAACGGGGCUAAACCAUGCACCGAAGCUGCGGCAGCGACGCUUAUGCGUUGUUGGGUAGGGGAGCGUUCUGUAAGCCUGUGAAGGUGUGCUGUGAGGCAUGCUGGAGGUAUCAGAAGUGCGAAUGCUGACAUAAGUAACGAUAAAGCGGGUGAAAAGCCCGCUCGCCGGAAGACCAAGGGUUCCUGUCCAACGUUAAUCGGGGCAGGGUGAGUCGACCCCUAAGGCGAGGCCGAAAGGCGUAGUCGAUGGGAAACAGGUUAAUAUUCCUGUACUUGGUGUUACUGCGAAGGGGGGACGGAGAAGGCUAUGUUGGCCGGGCGACGGUUGUCCCGGUUUAAGCGUGUAGGCUGGUUUUCCAGGCAAAUCCGGAAAAUCAAGGCUGAGGCGUGAUGACGAGGCACUACGGUGCUGAAGCAACAAAUGCCCUGCUUCCAGGAAAAGCCUCUAAGCAUCAGGUAACAUCAAAUCGUACCCCAAACCGACACAGGUGGUCAGGUAGAGAAUACCAAGGCGCUUGAGAGAACUCGGGUGAAGGAACUAGGCAAAAUGGUGCCGUAACUUCGGGAGAAGGCACGCUGAUAUGUAGGUGAAGUCCCUUGCGGAUGGAGCUGAAAUCAGUCGAAGAUACCAGCUGGCUGCAACUGUUUAUUAAAAACACAGCACUGUGCAAACACGAAAGUGGACGUAUACGGUGUGACGCCUGCCCGGUGCCGGAAGGUUAAUUGAUGGGGUCAGCGCAAGCGAAGCUCUUGAUCGAAGCCCCGGUAAACGGCGGCCGUAACUAUAACGGUCCUAAGGUAGCGAAAUUCCUUGUCGGGUAAGUUCCGACCUGCACGAAUGGCGUAAUGAUGGCCAGGCUGUCUCCACCCGAGACUCAGUGAAAUUGAACUCGCUGUGAAGAUGCAGUGUACCCGCGGCAAGACGGAAAGACCCCGUGAACCUUUACUAUAGCUUGACACUGAACAUUGAGCCUUGAUGUGUAGGAUAGGUGGGAGGCUUAGAAGUGUGGACGCCAGUCUGCAUGGAGCCGACCUUGAAAUACCACCCUUUAAUGUUUGAUGUUCUAACGUUGACCCCUAAUCGGGGUUGCGGACAGUGUCUGGUGGGUAGUUUGACUGGGGCGGUCUCCUCCUAAAGAGUAACGGAGGAGCACGAAGGUUGGCUAAUCCUGGUCGGACAUCAGGAGGUUAGUGCAAUGGCAUAAGCCAGC